Molecule: ribosomal RNA, 254 nt
Filed under: uncultured bacterium
Lineage: Bacteria
Description: partial 16S ribosomal RNA
Rfam family: Bacterial small subunit ribosomal RNA
Source: RNAcentral
UACGGGGGGGGGCAAGCGUUGUUCGGAAUUCCUGGGCGUAAAGGGUUCGUAGGUGGCCAACUAAGUCAGACGUGAAAUCCCUCAGCUUAACUGGGGAACUGCGUCUGAGACUGGAUGGCUUGAGUGCAGGAGAGGAACGCGGAAUUCCAGGUGUAGCGGUGGAAUGCGUAGAUAUCUGGAGGAACACCGGUGGCGAAGGCGGCGUUCUGGACUGCAACUGACACUGAUGAACGAAAGCCAGGGGAGCAAACGGG